GUAGAGACAAAAAGAAAUGUGUAUGGUAGAAACAGAAAGGAAGAAGUUAUAUUAACUAGACUGAGGCUUGGUCACACUGAAUUAAAUUCAACUAUGUCAAUACUGGGAGUUAAAAAAAAUGAUUUGUGUGAUCAUUGUGGAGUCAGAGAAACCGUAGAACAUGUUAUGUUUGAUUGCAGGAAAUGUAGACAAGAGAGGAGGGAAUUAAUAGAAUAUUUAAAUAAUAAAGGACAUAAAGAUAGAAACUUAGAAUAUAUAUUAGGGAUAAAUGUUAAUAGGGAUAGUUUGGGGUAUAGGGUAUUAAUACAAUGUCUAUAUAACACAGGAUUGAGCGAAAGAAUAUAAUAAAUAAUUUAAAUUAAAAUGUAUUAAAAGGACCCUGAGGGACCAAGUCUGGAAGCAGGAGGAGCUGAACAUGCAGUUGACAGUUGAGUCCUGAUGGAGAAAUUUAGGCAGCUGAGUCGGAAGUUCUAAAACGAUCGCAAAAACGAGUGCACUUCCGCAUCGAAGUAUAAGGUCAAUAUACGAAUUUCACUUUUUUAAUUGAAUUACUGAAAUUACAACUACAAUUAUUACAACUGUUUUGAUGACAUUGUAAUUCAUUGAGAUGCACCUGUAAAUUGAUGUGAACUUUAUUCUAACUUUAUAUUAUACAACUUGGUAUUAUAUUUUGACCGUUUUCUUGUUAAAGUAACGUUCCACUUAUGUUGUUGUAUAAUCUAUUGUAGUAUUAGUGUACAAACAUUUUUCAACUUGUCACUUCAUUAGGCAAGCCUUCAUCUUGUCACCAAAGAUCACUGUUGCUUGUGUUGGAAAUUCCGAGCUCUCCACUGAAACAGGAGCAGGAACAUGUUACAACGUUGUUGGUAGUUUGAAUGCAACUUUAUUAUGUAGAGACAAUUAAUAACCAAAUAAAUCCAUUGUUAUUUUCCAGAAUGCAGAGUGCUUGCUGCAGAAGAAAAUAAAUGAAUUCACCCAGCAGAAAGACAUAGAUGUGUUGAAAUACAUUAAACACAAACUUGCUGGAAGAUUGGAAAGUGCAUAAAGAAUGCAGAGGCCUUGCAGCAGAUGAUGAUGCCUUUCAUGGCAAAAAUGACAAAAA
Molecule: long non-coding RNA, 1102 nt
Organism: Danio aesculapii
Lineage: Eukaryota; Metazoa; Chordata; Actinopteri; Cypriniformes; Danionidae
Exons: 3
Source: RefSeq, a predicted model, not a curated record